Molecule: non-coding RNA, 313 nt
Organism: Callithrix jacchus (white-tufted-ear marmoset)
Lineage: Eukaryota; Metazoa; Chordata; Mammalia; Primates; Cebidae
Source: RefSeq, a predicted model, not a curated record
AGAGCACCCAUCCUGGUGGGGCCAGACAAAGAAAUGGUGAAGAAAUGCACAGAUACACUACUUGCUGGUAACAGUCAGUGCUCUGAGGAAAAGGGAAGAGGAUAACAGGAUGGAUUCUGAGAGAUGCCUUCCCACGUGUGUGAGACCAUUGCUGUGGAAAGAAGCUGGGCCUGACUUCUGGGCUCUGGUGUGAAAUAACAGAUCCAUGCAUUCUGAGUAAACAACAGAACCCCUUCUGGCUUCUACAGGAGGAACCAAAUGGCUUGAGCAUUCAGAGCCCAAUGGAGACCAAGACUGAUACACUAUACUCAUG